UACAGAGGUGCCAAGCGUUAGGCGGAAUCACUGGGCUUAAAGCGCGUGUAGGUGGACGGGUAAGUAUCUUGUGAAAUCCCACGGCUCAACCGUGGAACUGCUGGAUAUACUGCUUGUCUUGAGGCACUUAGGGGCAGCUGGAACAAAUGGUGGAGCGGUGAAAUGCGUAGAUAUCAUUUGGAACGCCAAAGGCGAAAGCAGGCUGCUGGGAGUGAUCUGACACUGAGACGCGAAAAGCCAGGGGAGCAAACGGG
Molecule: ribosomal RNA, 254 nt
Filed under: uncultured bacterium
Lineage: Bacteria
Description: partial 16S ribosomal RNA
Rfam family: Bacterial small subunit ribosomal RNA
Source: RNAcentral